This 41296-nucleotide long non-coding RNA is filed under the name Brachypodium distachyon (stiff brome). Its description in RNAcentral is "long non-coding RNA (BDIS_LNC005261)". The stretch from base 3717 to 3841 matches the Rfam family "MIR1120/MIR1122 microRNA precursor family". Lineage: Eukaryota; Viridiplantae; Streptophyta; Magnoliopsida; Poales; Poaceae. The record is from RNAcentral.
ACGACCGCCUCCUCCCCAGCAAGCCGCUCUCCCCUGGCGCCACCAUCGUCUCGGACGGCGGCGACUUCGCCUUGGGCUUCUUCAGCCCCUCCAACUCCAGCACUACUCCAGCGAAGCUGUACCUCGGCAUAUGGUACAACGGCAUUCCCGAGCUCACCGUGGUGUGGGUCGCGAACCGAGAAACCCCGGCCACCAACACCACCAAUUCCUCCUCCGCGCCCACGCUCUCCCUCACCAACACCUCGAGCCUCGUUCUCUCCGACGGCGGCCGUGUCCUUUGGACGACGACGCCUGAGACCGACGUGGCCGCUGCUCCAGCGACGGCGGUGCUUCUGAACAGCGGCAACCUGGUCCUACGCUCGGCGAACGGCACCACGCUGUGGCAGAGCUUCGACCACCCGACGGACACGCUCCUGCCGGACAUGAAGAUGGCGAUCAAGCAGGGCGCGCGCGCCGCCGGGCAGCGCCUGGUGUCCUGGAAGGCGCCGGGCGACCCCUCGCCCGGCCGCUUCUCCUACGGCGGCGACCCGGCCACGUCCCUCCAGAUAUUCCUGUGGGAGGGCACGCGCCCCGUGUACCGCAGCGCGCCAUGGACCGGGUACCGGGUGAAGAGCGAGUACCAGUUCCAAACGAGCAACACCAGCGCCGUCACCAUCUACCUGGCCGUCGUCGACAACAACGGCGGCGGGGAGAGCUACACGACCUUCAGCGUAUCGGACGGCGCGUGGAAAACAAGGUACGUCCUGGCCUACUCGGGCGAGCUCCAGAUCCGGAGCUGGAACGCCAGCUCGUCGGCGUGGGCCGUGCCGGGCCAGUGGCCCACCUGGGCGUGCGACCGCUACGGCUACUGCGGCCCGAACGGGUACUGCGACGAGACGGCGGCGCCCACCACCCCGGCGUGCAAGUGCCUGGACGGCUUCGAGCCGGCGAGAGGGGAGGAAUGGGACAAUGGGAAUUUCUCGGCGGGGUGCCGCCGCAAGGAGGCGCUGCGGGGUUGCGGUGAUGGCUUCGUGGCGUUGCCGGGGAUGAAGCCGCCGGACGGGUUCGCGCUCGUGGAGGAGGAUAAGUCGCUGGCGGAGUGCGCGGCGGAGUGCAGCAGCAACUGCUCCUGCGUGGCGUACGCGUACGCUAACCUGAGCAGCGGCACGUCCAAGGGGGGUAUAGCAAGGUGCUUGGUGUGGGCCGGGGAGUUGGUUGACACCGGGAAGCUAGGCUCAAGCCCCGCCAGCGACACGCUCUACCUCCGGCUCGCAGGCUUGGACGCAGCACACGGUACCAAUCCAAUCUCUUCCCUCCUCAUUCUCUAUGUUAGUCUUUUUUCUUCUGAUGGUGACUAUUUCUAGUUCUUUUCCUGGGCAAUUAGGAGGGGAGAAAUUUUCUACCUAAAAAUAUUACUCACUCCGUUUCAUAAAGGUUUCAAGAACACGAGUUUAAAAAUAGGGGUAAAGGGCAUAGAUAGUCACUUCAUAAUUAAUCCACAAUCCAGCGGCCAGUCUAAAAGCCCAUAGAUAUCACAAAAGUUCCUCCAAAGAGAGUUUAACCAUUACGGACAAAAAUUGUUGGUUCUUUAUACUCCCUCCGUCCCAUAUUAAGUGACGAAAUAUUACAUGUAUCUAGACGCUUUUUAAAUAUAAAUACAUCCAUAUUGGGCAAAGUUGAGUCACUUAAUAUGAGACGGAGGGAGUAGUAAAAAAACAUAUAUAACUAGGCAGUUACACAUUUGUGAAAUAUGGGCAACUUCCCUUUUAGACAUGUGCAAGUGCGCAAGCGAGCAUGUUCAUGUACAUUUCUACACCCAGAGAUGCACAUAUAAUUGUGUGUCUAGAUAUUAUAUUGUGUCACUUGGUUUAGAGAUAUAAACUCCUCCCUACGAUACAUAAAAUGUGUCGUCCACUUAGUACGAAAUUUGUACUAACAUUCAGUACAAAAUGGGCGAUACUUUUUAUGGAUGGGAGGGAGUAGAUUUUCAAUGGCCUGAAAAUUAGCAAACCUGUUAUUUUAUAAGAAAUGCCCACGGUGCAACUCAAACACAUGCUUUAAACUUGUAAACUGGACCGUUCAUAACACUUCGCUUUUAUGCUAUGGUGCAUGGACAGGUACAAGAUCAAAGAACAAUGAAGUGAAGUUUGGAUUGCCAAUUUUAGGAAUUAGUGUUCUGAUACUGGGGUGCAUUUUUCUUGCAUGGCUGAAUUUCAGAGGUACGUUAAAUUUAUAUUCCUCUAGGAACUGCCUAUUCGACCUUUUUGAAAUAUUUGAGUUUGUAUAUUGUACCCUCGUGCCGCAGAAUAUUCUAAACCCCGUGAAUUUGCAAAUUCGCACCAGAGCCUAUUUAAGCAAUGUAGUCAUUGCAAUUAAUAGAUAAGACAAUAAUUCCACAUGUUAGUGAUGUCUGCUUCUUCUUCACACCCCCUCAUCCGGCUCCCCCCUCAUCUUCUACUGGGUAGAUUUCUGUUAACAAUCUAAGACAUGGCUCUCUCGUUGCUUGACCAUGGUAUCCUUGGUGGGGGUCUAGUAUAGUAAACUAGUAACACUAAUAUGCCAUGGUGGUUUUUGGUUAUGUGAAUUUACAACGGGUAUACAGUGGACAAACACUAGCAGUUAAAUCUGUGAAAUAAAAUCUUAAUUUUUUUAUCUUAUUUGUUAUGUGUAUGAUAUACUCAUGGAUGUCGGUUACUGAAGCAGGCAAGAAGAGAAACCAGGGAAAGCACAAGAAGGUAACAGUGGAUGGUUCAAGUGAACUUGAAUUUCCACUUGUAAGAUUUGAGGAAGUUGCCCUAGCAACACAAAAUUUCUCUGAAAAAUGUAUGAUUGGGCAGGGAGGCUUUGGUAAAGUUUAUAAGGUAAUUUGUUCUAUAGUAGUAUCCUCUUAUUCAUUCUAAAUCUGUUUAAGUAACUUAAUUGACUUGUUCAUAUGAAAACCAAAAUGCAUGUUUUUCCUUAACAUUUUGAAGGGAACACUAGGUGGUCAACAGAUUGCCGUCAAGAGGCUAAGUAGGGACUCUCAACAAGGGACAAAUGAGUUUACGAAUGAAGUAAUUCUCAUUGCCAAAUUGCAACACAAAAAUUUGGUUCGACUCCUUGGAUGCUGUGGCGAGGCAGAUGAAAAAUUGUUGAUUUAUGAGUACUUGCCUAAUAAAAGCUUAGAUGCCACCCUUUUCGGUAUAUUCCAUCAACACCACCAGAAUUUCCUAAAAUAACUCAACAUGUUCUCUUACAUAUUUUCUUUUGAUAGAUGAUUCAAGAAAACACUUGCUGGUUGGGUGACUCGGUUAAUAUAAUCAAGGGAGUGGCAAGGGGGUUGCUUUAUCUCCGCCAAGAUUCAAGGUUGACCAUUAUUCACAGAGAUCUCAAAGCUGGAAAUGUUUUGCUAGAUGCAGAGAUGAAACCCAAGAUAACCGAUUUUGGCAUGGCAAGGAUCUUUGGUGAUAACCAGGAAAAUGCAAAUACGCAAUGUGUUGUCGGAACAUAGUGAGUAAUUAUUUGAACCAUUAACUUGUAUUAACUCAUGGUUAAAUUCAAACCCCAUUCCCCUAACUGUUGCAAGUGAAAUAAUCAAGCAGUGGCUACAUGGCUCCCGAGUAUGCAAUGGAAGGUGUCUUCUCUACCAAGUCAGACGUCUAUAGCUUUGGUGUGUUACUAUUAGAGGUUGUAACCGGCAAAAAGAGAAGCUCAGGCAGUCACACCAUGGGCUUUCCUAGCCUCAUAAUCUAUGUGAGUAAAUACUCCCUCCGUCCCAUAUUAAGUGACUUUUUAUUACAUGUAUCUAGACGCUUUUUAGGUAUAGAUACAUCCAUAUUUGAACAAAUUUGAGUCACUUAAUAUGGGACGGAGGGAGUACAUGUUUUAUUUUAAGUGCCAAAUUAAAGAAAGAAAGUAAGCCAUGUUUCUGAAAGAAAAGGGUUAUUUUCUACAACUCAUAGAGGGCGUUUCAUAUUGUUUCAGUCGUGGAAUAUGUGGAAGGAAGGGAAGGCAAAGGAGUUGGUUGACUCAUCUAUCAUGGACACCAGUUUAAUGGAUGAAGUCUUUCUUUGCAUCCAUGUGUGUCCAGGAAAACCCAGAUGAUAGGCCGCAUAUGUCAUCUGUUGUGUUCGUCCUGGAGAACGGAAGCACCACGCUUCCAACCCCCGAUCUUCCCGCCUACUAUGCACAACAACGCAUUGACUUGGAGCAAAUUAGAAACGAUAUUCUGAACUCCGUGAAUACUUUAACUCUUACCAAUAUUGAAGGGCGAUGAAAUAAUUUGUCUAAAGAUGGGCUAGCCCACGUGUAUGAGCUUGUAGUCUAGUGGUGGAGUGAAAUACUGAAAUAUUUCCUUCCUAUCCAGAGUACAAAAGAGUUGUUGUACUGAAUCUUCGACACUUGUUAUGGAUCGUAUGACAUCAGUUCAGAAAUGGUUGUUCAGUCAUCACUUAAGUUUCAGCAGUGACCUGCAUGCAACACAGCAAACUACGUUUAUCAUGUGCCUCUGGAUUUAUUUAUUUAUUUAUUUUUUUUUAUUUUUUUGCAGGGAUGUGCCUCUAGAUGUUCAUGCUUAAUAACAUGGGUAUUAAACUAGCUGAGAGCUCAGAACUAGAACAAUUGAGGGGCUUGAGGAAACAUCGAAGGAGCACGCUAUAAUCAAAGCACAUAAAUUUCUGCACUUUACUUUUUGCCUCUUACACAAUGCCAAGCAAAGAGCACACGCAGGGAGACUGGAGUGGAGAGGCACGAAGGCAGAGUUAAGAUACCUAACUUGGCAUCUGCUUAGUCUAAAUAAGCAUCAGUGCUUAACAAAAACCGGUUAAUUUUUUUAAGCACCCACCUAGGCAUCUUGCAUUGUACAUGCUCUUAGGGGGUUGGACCACCCUGAGAUUUUCUAAUCAUUUAUAUAACACGGUUAAAAAAAUUCAAAACAUCAAAAUAACUAAAUUAUAUGAAUAUUUUCACUGUUAGACCACCGCGGGGCGCGGGCGAGGGAAACAGAAUGAAGGGAAUGUCGAAGAUGGGCGACGUACAUACAGGUCCGAAGAAGAAGAGCAACAUACAUCAAAUAAAUACACGAGCAGAGUAAUCUAUAAACUCAGAGCAAAUGAAUUUUUGUCAAAGAAUUUAAAAACUCACACAAAAAAUUCUAAAUUUGGAUUAGUGAUACAAAUUAGUUCAAAUAUGGUUCAAAGAGGCUCACUUGGGACCGCAGCUUCUAGCUAGGUUUUCUCAUCUUGCAAAAUCACCACCGUGGAUAAAUCUCCUCCUGAUCGAAUCUCCCGAAUUGGUGACGGUGUUGUUUAAUCAAACUAGAGCACGGCGUCGAGACCGCACAUUAAUAUCUAAAUUUCUCAUCGGUCAUCGGUUGACGCACUCAACCAUGUCGGCCGCCGUCAAGACUGCGGGCGAGCAGUGAUCUGAUCGGUGUACCGUUAUCUUCGCGCCGAAGCAACCACCAAAGUUGAGGCCAUGGACGUGAGGCGUUUACUCGAUGUCCAUGUUGAUGUAGAGUUGCUUGACAUUUCCGUCCUAGUUCUAGUUCUAGAGUUAACUGAGGAUGCUUCUCUUGACGUUAGGCAGCGGGCCCUCAUGAACGACGAGGUGGAUAUAGGCCUCGAGGUCGUGGCAGCAUGAGGCAUCGGCAUCCAACCUAAGGUAUGUCGAUGCCAUGUUGUCAGCCUGAGCUCGCGGCCCAUGUUUGCGUAUCACAGCCUGUCGACAUCGGGAAAGAAGCAGCACAGGAAGACAUCAUGCACAUUCACCACAGGAAGGAUCCGCGCGCCUCCGCACGUUAUAUGGUCACCUACCUACCGCACGUUGUUGGCCACCUGCCUGCCAUGCUACUAAGAGCAAGAUUAAUAAUACAAACAUGUAUAAUGCUGGCUAUUAGCCCAUCAAUAGAAAACAUGUAUAAUAGUUAGCUAUAAGUAUGCACUAUUUUAUGAAUACAUUGCCCGCAUCUCACUCUCAUAGGAAGCCUAGGGGCAUGUGUGAUGCCACCGGCUGUUAGCUAGCAGCCCGCUUCUCUCCUCUCUUCCAUUCAACUCAACAAAAAUAUAGUAUUUAAAAGCUUACAACCUGCCCACGUAACCAUAUUGUACUUGCUCUAAGCUCUCGACUUGCUAUGGUUAGGGAAAUUGAGUACGAAAGAGCGUAUGCAUUCGAGUGAUCGUGUCGGAAAGAUGCAAUCAAUAUCAGCGAUCAUACGACUUGCGAAAGGAAACAAACACAUCCCCAUAUGUGGAGGAGGCCAAGGGUCUGUUUGGAUUGAGCCCCAGAUAGCCCUACCAAAAAAUUGGCAAGCUAUACUUGUUUGGUUUGCAGCCCUAGUGGAGCACCAAUUUUUUGGAAAACGAUUAGGCCACUAUUUGGUUUGCUUACAAGUACAGUUUCUGCAACUUUCAGUUCUUGAACGAGCAGAGAAGAACACCUCAAUCAAUUUAGAUCACUGAAGCAUGUAUAACCUGCUCCAAAUUCUCUUGCACUGGAGCAUCUGCACACCACUAGGAGCAGUACGCCUCCAUCGAUUUAGAAAUAUGUUGACCACAUCGUCGGGAUUUUGAGUUCUUCUCCAACUCCGGCCAACGCCCGCCGCAUCGAUUUCUUUGUUUUCCGGCGGGGUAAAGAUGGAUUCCUUGGGCAUCUAAAAUCAAAGACACAUAAUCUUCAUUUCCCAUCGAUCAAUUUUGAGUUUUGGACCCUGUAGCAUCACUCACGGGGAUGUUGCCGCCGGCCGCCACUUUCGCUGGCCGUAGUUUGCACAGCCGGACAUGCUGAUGCCACCAACGUAUUCCUGGAGUUCCUCUGAUUCCGUUUUGUGCUUAUCCGUCAUCCCCGAUUGCCCCAGAAAAAAACGGGAAAACGCAAGACAUGCAAGAUUAGCGAGAGGUUACGACGAGAAAGAGAGGAGAAUGCGGCUGCCAAAUAUUUGGCGGAGGAUUUCUACGCCCUGGACUCGCCCGCGAGUUGGUGAAAAAGCACGGGCGCGCUCGGGCGAGAGUUGGCUCACCAAAUUAUCGGUCACAGUCCAAACAACGGCCAAAUGUCACGGGCGUACCAAUUUUUUGGUAAGGCUUGCGUUGGCCAUAAACCAAACGUACCCCAAGUACACAACAAAAUACUGAAUUGUGGGAGUAUAUGGGCUGGAGUAAUGGGUCGAUUAUUAAAAUUUUGGACUGAAUUGUGGGAGUAUAUGGGCUGGAGUAAUACAUCAGUUACAGAUGUGUGGACGUGUGGUUUUAUGCAUCAAUGGAGAGUUUGAAGAAAAAAAAAAUAUUACAAGUCUGGAGGACUUAGCCACAUGGAAGAAUAAUUGAACCCCAUCAUGUAGUAUCCUGUCCUCUUCACACCAUCACCGAUACUUCGGUCUUCCCUGCAAUACAUACGGUCACCACUGCCCGAUGUCAGCGAGUAGAUCUGGUCGCGCGGCAACUCCUUCUCCUUAUUAGAGAAGGUGGGGCGAGAGUAGUAGAUGUGGUUUCUCUCCAAACCGCGUCGUUGGACGCCCAACGGCACGUGCACCGCCUUAGACCGCAGCAGCCCCCAAAACAAGGCAUAGUUGUCGAAGCUCGUAACCUCUUCCCAUUUGCAGUCGCCGGAGUCAGCAUCGACAAGCUUGAAGACCUUAAAGAAGGCUUCGCGGUUAGGCAGCCACCGGGUCCUCACAGCCAUGGACAGUUUACCCUGUAGCUCGAAGAUGUGGCCGGCGUAUUGCACGGGUUCAUCCCGCCUGGUGGGGCCAUCACGCCUUUGAAUGGCCAGCACGUGUGUGGCUGUGACCACCGGCGAGCCAUCUUCCUCCCAGCCGAUUGUAAACUUGAUGAGCUCCUCAUCCGGUGCAAGAAGUGUUGGAAUUUUGGGUUAGGCCCAAGGUCCAAUCUGAAAUUAAUUCCUGAAAAAUCUCAAAAGCCCAUUCAUGGAGUGGAAUGAGGAAGUGGGAAUAGUCCCACCUAGCUAGUUUAGGAGAGUUGGAUCAAUAUAUAAGAUAUGUUGGUUCUAACCUCUUGAACAAGUGAGCAAGGUAAAUCCCCACGCGCGCUCAUCCUCCUCCUCCUCCGCUCGCCUCGCCCCACGCCACGCCACGAGUUUCGUGGAUCGAUUUGGUCGGUGCGGUGCAGGGUCGUGCUUAUCUUGUUUUCCAUCCAGUCGACUGCGUGCAUAGAUCGUCGGGAGAGCAGGCCUCUGGAACCCCGACCUUCGAGAUCCUGUCCGAGAGACUGUCGAUAAGGUUUUUGGGAAGCGUUCUCAUGCGACUGCUCGCUUCUUCACGUCCCUGUUUCAUCGGCAUCUUCAUCACCAAUGGCCGAUGACCUCGGAGAUCCUGCGGCUCAGACUGCCGCUCUAGCUCAGCAGCAGCAGGCUGCCCAACUCCAAGCCCAGGCAAUUGCUGCUGCACAGGCGCUGGCCGCUGCCCAGGAGGUAGUCAAGACUGCUGCUGCUGCCGGCAUGAACAUCGACGCCGCCGGACUCGUCACCGACCUCAACAAACAAACACAAGAAAAGAGUACAACACUGUACGUCUGCUCUUUCUUGUUGAUUUUGAUUAGUAGUUCUAUUAUUCAUGUCGUGAAAUUAGAUGAGUUUUAUUAAUGUGCGUUGCUAUUUAAUUUGUCUAGUUUGCAUGAUAUAAUAUGCUACAUGUUUUACACAUUGUUUUUCUGGAUUAAAUAUUCAUCGAAAUUACCUAAUUAUUCAACAAUCCAAAAACCUUAUUCGUGUAGCCAAUUUUCGAUGUCUCAAUUUGCUGUCGCAUUGAAACCACCUGUGUUUACUGGACUGCACUUUAAGAGGUGGCAGUAUAAAUGUCAUAUGUGGCUCGUGGCUAUGGGCGCAUGGUGGGCGGUACAACACGGGAAGACUCAAACAAUUGCUCCUCAACAGUUGUAUGUUGAGGCUUGUGUUGUAGUCGUCGGUGUGAUCUGUAGUAUGCUGGGAGAUAAGCUCGUUGAUGCUUAUCUACACUAUCAGGAUGCCAAAGAGUUGUGGGAUGCGCUCGAUGCUAAGUUUGGCGCAUCUGACGCCGGCAGUGAGCUGUACAUCAUGGAGCAGUUCUUUGACUAUAAGAUGGUUGCAAACCGAUCUGUAGUGGAACAAGCUCAUGGGUUACUGACUAUGGCUAAGGAACUUGAGCAAUUCAAGUGUCCACUACCCGACAAGUUUGUCGCCGGGGGCAUCAUGGCCAAGCUUCCUCCCUCGUGGAGGAACUUUGCUACUUCACUAAAACACAAGAGACAAGAAAUCUCUGUGGAGAACCUGAUUGGGACUCUUGAUGUUGAGGAGAAGGCGAGAGCAAAAGAUGCUGGCCCCAAAGGCAACACGCAAGAGGGUACGUCCACUGCCAACAUGGUUCAGAGGAACAACCACAACAACAGUAACAGCAAGGGAAAGGGAAAGGCAUUCAACAAUGCUGGUCCAAAAAACACUACCACUUUCAAGAAGAAGAAGAAAAGAGGCAACAAGGACAAGGAUCCUUACUUUGUGUGCGGAGGACUCGGCCACUGGGCGAGUAACUGCAAGGAGCGCAAAGGAGGACAGAUUCGGCAAAAGUUUGCUAAUUUGACCAUUGGUAACAAUGAAGAUGCAGGUGGGUAUAGUCAUUUAUUUACUGUAUUUUCUGUAUGUCAGUCCACCGAUUGGUGGUCAAUACAGGUGCAACUAUUCAUGUGUGUGCUGAUAUUUUCUUGUUUUCUUCAUAUCAGGCCAUCAGCUCCUCAGUGACGAUGGGGAACGGCGCUCAUGCUUCUGUUCAUGGUGUUGGCACGGUGGAUCUGAAGUUUACUUCGGGAAAGAUCGUGCAGCUGAGGAACGUGCAGCAUGUGCCCUCCAUUCAGAAGAAUCUUGUUAGUGGAUCCCUCCUUUGCAAGGACGGAUUUAAGUUAGUGUUUGAGUCCAAUAAAGUUAUUGUGUCUAUGUAUGGACAAUUUAUUGGUAAAGGUUAUGAGUGUGGAGGCUUGUUCCGCUUAUCCCUUUCGGAUUUUUGUAAUAAGGUCGUGAACCGCGUCAAUUGUAUUAAUAAUGAGUCUAAUGUUUGUCAUUCAUGACUUUGUCACAUUAAUUUUAGUUGCAUGAUGCGAUUAGCAAAUCUGAGUUUAAUCCCUAAAAUCACUGUGGCUAAAGAUUCGAAGUGCCAAACUUGUGUGCAAGCGAAGCAGCCUCGCAAGCCUCACAAGGCUGCUGAGGAGAGGAACCUAGCACCAUUAGAACGCAUACAUUCUAAUCUUUGUGAGAUGAACGGUGUAUUAAUCAAAGAUGGAAAACGUUACUUUAUGACUUUCAUUGAUGAUGCGACUAGAUUCUGUUAUGUGUAUUUAUUAAAAUCAAAGGAUGAAGCAUUGCAUUAUUUCAAGAUCUAUAAAGCUGAAGUCGAGAAUCAACUUGAGAAGAAAAUUAAACGUUUGCGGUCUGACCGCGGUGGAGAAUAUUUCUCCAGUGAGUUUAAUUCAUUUUGUGAGGAACAUGGCAUAGUCCAUGAGAGGACACUUCCCUAUUCGCCCCAGUCAAACGGGGUUGCUGAGAGGAAAAUCCGCACGCUGACUGACUUGGUCAACGCCAUGUUAGACACUGGUGGUUUAUCCAAGGCAUGGUGGGGGGAGGCGCUAUUAACUUCGUGUCAUGUCCUAAAUCGUGUUCACACAAAAGAUAAAGUCACCCCAUACGAGCUAUGGGAAAAGAAGAGACUCACACUUUCUUACUUACGGACUUGGGGUUGUUUGGCGAAAGUCAAUGUGCCAAUUACCAAGAAACGUAAGAUUGGACCAAAAACCGUUGAUUGUGUCUUUCUUGGCUACGCACUUCGGAGUGUUGGCUAUAAAUUCUUGGUUGUAAAUUUUGGAGUACCUGACAUGAGCGUUGGUACAAUUAUGGAGUCCAGGGAUGCUACAUUCUUUGAGAACAUAUUUCCCAUGAGAGAUAUGCAUAGCACAUCUAGAGAGGAUCAUGAUGUACCUGCUGAACCCGUCAGUUCAGAGGAACAUCAGGAUCAUGGUGUAGCUCCUGAACCCGCCAUCCUAGUGAAAAAUCUUGAACAAACACUUGAUGAGAUUCCUGAGGAGUAUGACAAUGAAGCCCCUAUUAGGGGUAAGUGACAAAGGAUUGCUAAAUCCUUUGGUGAUGAUUUCAUUGUUUACCUUGUGGAUGACACCCCUAAAACCAUUAAUGAGACUUUUGCAUCUCCGGAUGCAGACUAUUGGAAGGAAGCCAUUCGUAGUGAGAUGAAUUCUAUCAUGGCUAAUGGUACUUGGGAGGUCGUUGACCGUCCGUACGGGUGCAAACCUGUAGGAUGCAAGUGGAUAUUAAAAAAAACUUAGGCCUGAUGGUACUAUUGAGAAGUACAAGGCGCGGCUUGUGGCCAAGGGUUUUACACAGAAAGAAGGUGAUGAUUUCUUUGAUACUUACUCACCUGUAGCUCAAUUGACCACAAUUAGAGUAUUACUAUCACUGGCUGCCUCAUAUGGUCUGAUCGUCCAUCAAAUGGACGUUAAGACAGCUUUCCUUAACGGAGAGUUGGACGAGGAAAUUUACAUGAAUCAGCCAGAUGGAUUUGUAAUAAAGGGUCAUGAAGGCAAAGUGUGUAAGUUAUUAAAAUCUCUAUAUGGCCUGAAACAAGCUCCUAAGCAAUGGCAUGAGAAGUUUGACAAAAUUUUAACAUCUGCCGGCUUUGUUGUAAACGAAGUUGACAAAUGUGUAUACUACUGCCAUGAGGGGCGGGGGUGAGGGAGUUAUACUUUGUUUGUAUGUCGAUGACAUACUAAUAUUUGGGACUAACCUCAAAGUGAUUGAAGAGGUUAAGACUUUCUUGUCGAAGUGCUUUGACAUGAAAUAUCUUGGUGUAGCUGAUGUUAUUCUGUACAUCAAGCUCGUGAGAGGCGACAAUGGUGAGAUCACUUUGUUACAAUCUCAUUAUGUGGAAAAGAUCUUGAGUCGUUUUGACUAUGCUGAUUGUAAACCUUCUACAACUCCUUAUGAUCCAAGCAUUCUGCUUCGAAAGAAUCACAGAAUUGGAAGAGACCAACUGAUAUAUUCUCAGAUUAUUGGUUCACUCAUGUAUUUGGCUAGCACAACUACACCUGACAUCUCUUUUGCUGUGAGUAAACUGAGUCGGCUCAUUAAGAAUCUGGGAGAUGAUCAUUGGAGUGCACUCGAGAGGGUCAUGCGCUAUUUAAAGGGCACAAUGAGCUAUGGUAUACACUAUACUGGGUACCCCAAGGUACUUGAGGGUUAUAGUGAUUCAAAUUGGAUAUCUGAUGUUGAUGAGCUAAAGGCCACUAGUGCAUAUGUGUUCACACUCGGAGGGGACGCUGUUUCAUGGAAGUCUUGCAAGCAAACGAUCUUAACCAGAUCAACAAUGGAAGCAGAACUUUCAGCAUUAGAUACAUUCACGGCUGAAGCCGACUGGCUUCGUGAGCUCUUGAUGGACUUGCCGAUUGUUGAAAAACCAAUACCAGGGAUUCUUAUGAACUGUGACAAUCAAACUGUGAUAGUGAAAGUGAACAGUUCUAAAGAUAACAUGAAGUCAUCAAGACACUUCAGGAGACGUCUGAAAUCUGUCAGAGCAAUGAGAAAUUCCGGAAUAAUAGCAUUGGGAUAUAUCCCAACGGCUAAAACUCUGGCAGAUCCCUUUACAAAGGGUCUAUCAAGGAAUGUGAUAGAAUCUGCAUCAAGGGAGAUGGGGUUGCGACCCACGUGAGUUACCAUGGCGGUAAACCAACCUAUGUGAUCGGAGAUCCCGUGAAUUGGGACCUGGGAAACAAGUCAUUGGAUAACUGAGGAGAGUGUACAUUCUUUAUCCCACUCCGUUGACGAUGCAUUACUCUCGUGUACUGUAUGGUAGGUUGUUAACUUAAUGUGUUCUAACGCGUUACAUUAAUUUGCAAGGGAGAUACUGUCCUACAGAGUAGUCUCUAAAGAACACACCUAUAUGAACCUGACUGUCGGUCGCAGUCUAUGAGAUUUAGGUGGUCUCUAGUAAGCUCAUGAAAAGGCCUGGAGAAUGACUUAUAUGCUCCACACCGCGGGAUAGCAUUCGGCAGCCUAAUACCAGACAACAAUUUAGUGAAGCUCUAAUACAGAAAACUGACAAUUCAAGAUUUGUCCAUUGUUCAGUUGUGUGUGAGUGAAGCUAUUUGUUUAGGUGGAUAUUCAACCUUAACCAGUCUCCACUGAAACGCUGAUAUAUCAAAAACAGAGUUUUGGAUCAAUGGCAAUUUUAUGUGCUUAUGAGAUAUUGUGGAGGAUUGUUGGAAUUUUGGGUUAGGCCCAAGGCCCAAUCUGAAAUUAAUUCCUGGAAAAUCUCAAAAACCCAUUCAUGGAGUGGGAUGAGUAAGUGGGAAUAGUCCCACCUUGCUAGUUUAGGAGAGUUGGACCAAUAUAUAAGGUAUGUUGGUUCUCAACUCUUGAGCAAGUGAGUAAGGGAAAUCCCCACGCGCGCUCCUCCUCCUCCUCCGCUCGCCUCGCCUUGUCACGACGCGCGCGCGCCGCGUUUCGUGGAUCGAUUUUGAGUCGUGCCGGGCCAGGCCGGGGCAGGGUCAUGCUUAUCUUUUUGGCAAUCGGAAUCCGUUCCGGACGCGUAACAAAUCCCGAUAAUUGCGGAGUCGGUUUUGGUUUUUUAAACCGAACCGAAGUCCGCCUACAUGCCGAUAUAAUAAGACGACCGCGACCGCGGCCUCCGGACGUAUGACGCCACAACCCUAGCCAUCACGGUCACGAUCCAAUCUCGCUGUUCGCCGCCAACUGCUACUCCAUCCCGUCGACUGCGUGCAUAGAUCGUCGGGAGAGCAGACCUCCGGAACCCCGACCUUCGAGAUUCUGCCCGGGAGACGGUCGAUAAGGUUUUUGGUGAGCGUUCUCACGCGACUGCUCGCUUCUUCACGUCCCUGUUUCGUCAGCAUCUUCAUCACCAAUGGCCGACGACCUCGGAGAUCCUACAGCUCAGGCUGCCGUUCUAGCUCAGCAGCAGCAGGCUGCCCAACUCCAAGCCUAGGCAACUGCUGCUGCACAGGCACAAGCGCAGGUGCUGGCCGCUGCCUAGGAGGUAGUCAAGGCUGCUGCUGCUGCCGGCGUGAACAUCGACACCGCCGGACUCGUCACCGACCUCAACAAACAAACACAAGAAAAGAGUAUAACACCGUACCUAAUCUGUUUUUUCUUGUUGAUUUUGAUUAGUAGUUCUAUCAUUCAUGCCGUGAAAUUAGAUGGGUUUUAUUGCUGUGCGUUGCUAUUUAAUUUGUCUAAUUUGCAUGAUAUAAUAUGUUACAUGUUUUACAAAUUGUUUUUCUAGAUUAAAUAUUCAUCAAAAUUAUCUAAUUAUUCAACAAGAAGGUCAAGGCCAUGCGCAAGGGUAAGGCCAUAGAGAUCACCGUUGCAGAAGGCUAUAUCUAUGAAAAUCCUCUUGCGCCAACCAGACUCCUGGGCGGCCCUGGCCCAGCCGCUGUGGGAGCCAACUUUGCACAGCGCGACGUUGAGCCAAUCCUCGGUGAUGGCGGCGAGCAAGCAGCCGUCGGAGGUGGGUGCUUGGGAAAAGAUGAGUUUCGGGAUGGUGUUUUCCCUAGGAUCGCCACCUGGCGCGAUCCAGUAGGGGGAAGGGAACAUGCUCUGCUUCGGGGAGAGAACCCACCUCAACGCCGGAGAAGAGGUUCACGAUCACGAGCUCGCGGUUGUUGAACGCCGGGACCCAGCCGCCGUCGUGGGAGCCAGUCAGGAGCUUCCUGGCCACCUUGCUCGGGACGCGCAAGACACAACAACUGUCCUCGUUGGGGCCGCACAGGUGCUUCGUCUCGCUGCGGCAGCGUUGGGAGAGGAGCAGCAGUGGGGCUGCGGGCUGCGCCGUCGGGAGGAAAGCCUCAAGUGGACCAUGCCGACGAGGUCGUCGCAGAGGUCGGACCACCGCGCUGACGAUUCUGUGCUGCCGUUCCCGGCGGUCAUCCGCAGAGGCGAUUCGAUGAUAGAUCACGUGUACCGUGGUAUUUGGCGAGUGUACCGACCUGUAAGUCCGCUAACGCAAAGCGAGGAGUUGGUACUAGUCUAUCGGCCGAACAUCAAAUCUAUAGCCGAAUAGAUUUGUUCGAGUAUGAUUGAACAAAUCUACAGCCGAAUAGACAAAUCCGACCGUUCGUAGGAUCGACAACUUUUGUUCUCUGAGAUAAACAAUCAAGGUCUCGUACAGGCUAUACAGCCGUCUUGGCGUUGCAGGCGCGGCCGCAAUCCAGCCAGCGCGUGCCGGAGGGGCCUCUCAACGGAGGACGCGGUCGGUCUGCCGGUCCAUCACGUUGGGCGUUGGGCGUUGGCCGUCACGUACUUGACUUGAGCGACAUGAGUUCGAUGGACGAUGCCUCCUCUUCAAGCAAAUACUCCGUACUUGUGAAAUGUGAGCUCUUAUUUCAGAUGAAAUGUUGUGUUGUCAACUUGUCAAGGUGCCGUGUAACGCCUCCUCGCUUCCUUCUUCCUCCUCGGGCUCACCGGGUGAGCCAAGCAACCCGCUCGCUGGAUGUCAGACACACUGAUCGGCUGAGGAAAUGCUGCUUUGCUUGCAGUUUUUGUGUUCUUGUGCAUCUGUGAUCUGCGUAAGUCACAGUGAUCGGCUGAAGCAAUACUCCCUUGCCUGAUUCCCCUCUUUUCCCUCUGUUUCAAUCUCUCUAUCCGUUCCCCUUUUUCUACAGUCUGUUGCGACAUGGAGGAGAAGAGUUUGAUUCGGUCGACACUGGGAAAUUUCAUCCAGAAUAUGAUUGGUAGGCCCAAGAAAAAAAUGGUUUCAGAAGAGACAAGGUGUUCUAUCAAAAUGCCAAUCAAAAAUGUGUUAUUUUGACUUAGUUUGACACUGAUGAAUUGGACUGCAAUGAAAAAGUACAUAUGAAAGAAGAAAAAGGUUGGAUAGUCAAAAAACAAAGUCAGAAUAUGGUUGGAAAAACUUAAUUAUCAUAAUCCACCACAAUGCUGCGAAACCAACCCUUUGUCUAAGACAAAGAAAGAUGUGCACAUUUUGAUUGCUGAUGAUCUUGGCUAAUUUUUUUUAAAUAAUACUAUUUUUUUAAUCAUUUUUAAAAAUAAUACGUGUUUUUUAAAAAUUUCAAAAAUAAUGCGGCCUCGGCCUAGGCGAGGCCGAUUGAGCUCAGUCGGCCUCGGCCAGGCCGACUGCAGGCCGCCUGCUCAGCCCGCGAGGCCCCCACGAGGCAGUCGGCCUGGCCCAAGCCGACUGAAACCUAGGCCAACUGGCCCAGUUGGUUUCGGCCAGGCCGACUGGAUUCAGUCGGUUUGGGCCAGGCCGAUUCGAAGUAAUUCCAUUUUUUGUUUCGGAUCCUUGCGGUCUUUUGAACUAAAAUACUCAACUUGGAUAAAAGUAACACACCGAAUCCGAUCAGAAGUAAUUAGAUUUCGCCGCGAGUUCGUGCAUGAUCAACGCAUACACAGCCGAAGCUCAUUUUUGUCUCGAAUCCUUGCGGUUUUUUGAACUAAAAGACUUAACAACUUGGAUAAAGAGUAACAUACAUCGAUAAUUUGCUGGACAAUUUUUGUGUCGAUUCUUUGCGGUUUGUUUGAACUGGAAGACUUGACAUUUGGAUAAAUUUGGAUAAAUUAACAUACAUCGAUAAUGUGCUGGUUACAGAACCAAGGCAUGACUAAAUUAACAUACAUUGGUAAUACCGCAAUUGGACAUAAUUAAAGAUAGCAAAUACAUUUGAAACACAAGCACUACUGAGUCCACUUAGCCAUUUUCCGCUCGUAUCGCCACGUCCUUCUGCAGCCUUUGCCACGGCGGCCCUUUCUCUUUGCCUCUCCCUUUCUGCCUCACGAGCAUCCUUGCGACUUUGUUCCUCCUCUUGCAUCUCAAGUGCUUUCUCCCUGUUUUUCCUAAGUGCUUCAUCAAUCCAACGACGUUGUUCCUCCCUAUGCUCUUUCAUCUCUCUCUCUUGCUCCUCUUUCUCCUGGUCUGAAGCUUUUUCCACAUGCUUCUCCGCGUGGAAACACUGCCAUGCAUUUCGGGACCUUGUUUUGAUCUCUUCCACCGCCCAAUCCGGCAUCUCCGUGUCAUCCUCCUCGGCCUCUCGCCCUGGUCCGAGCAAGGCAAACUCAUCGGGGUCACUGGAAUAUUGGAAAAAACAGUAGUGGGAAGGAUGCUUGGAUGACUACCGGAGAUGAGGUAUUUAUAGGCUCUCAAACUCAUUCUCCCGGCACCGUUUCCCGCCUCGUUUUCCCGCCAGCGUUUCCCGCCUCCUUUUCCCACCACCGUUUCCUGCCUUUUUCCCGUCACUGUUUCCCGUCUAUUUGUAUCUUCUGUAACUAUAAAAGACCGUCCAUGGUAUUGAAGUGUAGUCUCACCAUUUCAUCUGGGAAGAUGUCGUCCGGCUUCCCAGAUGAUCGUAGAUUUUGGUCAGGUAUGUCCCGAGAGCUAUUGUGGUUAGCAGGUGAUUUCAAGGUAGACAAUAGGAUAGUUUCAUGGGACGAACUCAUUAGUAGUGACACCCUACUAACUGAGCUGAGCCACCAAUUAUAUAGGUGCAAUUUUCCAUUGAGGACUUCUGCAGAGAUACGGCAAGAACUGCUAAGGUUGCACGAAAGGUGGAAGAAGCACAGUGAACGUAAGAGUGAGUCAUACCUACAAUGGGCUAGAAAACAUCCGUGUUAUGGGUUGAAGAGGAGGAAUCCGAUGAAGAUAUCUUCAUGCCAAGCAAAACGGGUAAGAGUUCUUCAUCGUCCAAGGGGAAGAGUACUGCACCAUCGAAGCGAAAGAGCACAUCAUCGUCCAAGGGGAAGAGUACAUCAUCGUCCCAUGAAGAUAUCUUCAUGCCAAGCAAAACGGGUAAGAGUUCUUCAUCGUCCAAGGGAAAGAGUACUGCACCGUCGAAGGGGAAGAGCACAUCAUCGUCUAAGGGCAAGAGCACUUCAUCUUCGUAGAGUUAGAAUUAGGUUAUCUUAUUUUAAGUUGUCGAUUUUAAUUUCAGUCUUUCUAUUGCAUAUAUAUUUCAGUCCUGCCAUUUUUUAUAUGCAAAUGUAACUUGAAUAAGAAUGCGAAAAAUAGUAACAUGUAUCUCUCAUACAUAGGUAGAAAUAUGUCUCAUACAUAGAUAGAAAUAUGUCUCAUACAUAGGUAGAAAUAUGUCUCAUACGUAGGACCUACAUGCAAAUAUCAGGCACGGUGUCUGGGACGGCGUUCCGGGGGUGCCUAUGGCGUGGUCCAGCCAUACCUAUGAGGUGGCACAACGUUGCGCGGAGGAAUCACGGACCCAUCCUCACGAUACUGUGUAUCCUCCUGUGUGGGGUCUGGUCGCGGAGUACUGAACAUCCAGCUGUGUUGGAGAGAAUAGUGCUCUCCUCGAGCGUGAUCCUGCUCACUAUCCCACGAGGGUUCGGACAACGACGACUGAUGCCCGUAGGGUCCUGCAUGUGGGAAAGUACUUAGCAUUAGAAUUGUGUAGCAAUCAUGGUAAUGAACACAAUAGAUAGAAAUAUACAUACCCUGUGGCUGGGUCUGUGGACGAAACUCGAAGUUCAUCCUGCGACUCUGCUGGUGCUGCCACGCCGAACCUCUAGCCUGAAAAGAGGGGGGCUGCUGCUGCCACACCGAACCUCCAGCCUCAAAAGAGGGCUGCAGCUGGUGCCAAUAGUUGAAAGAAGACUGCGGCUGGUGCCACGACGAACCUCCGGCCUGCUCAGGAGGUGGUGGCCUGGGCGUCGACUGCUCUGGUAGACGUGGACGCGGGUGGUGUCGGGGGAGCGGUGCUUCCUGCUGACAUGGCCGCUGCUGGUGCGUGGAGUGACGAGGUGGCCGUACGGAUGCCUGGUGGUGAACGACGUCCGAAGUGCAGGUGCACGUGAUAGCCGCGUAAACAGAGCGUAGCUUCUCCUUCAUUCGUCUAAGCCAGGACUGGUGCGGCUCCCGUGGUAGUAGAAGUGGACCGGUCGAAAGCGAACGUCCAUACGCAGCGAACUCGGCCUGUAAAUUCUGUGUCAACUGAGCCUGCAAUUGGCACGAAGAGUAUUACAUAUAUAUGGCAAAGUACGUAACAAACACAUGCAUUAUGUUAAGAGAAGAUACUUACCGCGUGCUGUCUAGAGCCUGAAGUAGACUGGCUAGGGUACAUAUCUUGCAAACUCGGCUCGGCUAUCUCCUGGGGGUGAGAGUGCUGAAUGAUGCUCAAUCGGGUAGCUGUCAUGUACCUCUGCAAAUAUCCGUUGAAUAGAUCAAGAUCAAAGGCCUCCAAUGGCCAAACCCGUGUCGUCGCAGUCUCCCACUCUGUGACGUACGACUGAACCCUCUGCAGUCACUGAGUCAGGGUCCUGGUACUUCCCUUCCUGGUAAACCUGAGAUCGCAAUAGAAAGUUGAACAAUUAAAUUAUGGAUAAUUCUGGACGACAAUCAUAAAUUGCAGAACUGCACAUACCUGUGGACGAUCUGUGGAAGUGGAUCAUCCGUCGGUGGAGGAACGACCAACCGGCGUGCCCCAAACUACCUCAUGACCCUCUGCUGGGCCAUCUCCUCCAUGCAGACGUCGAAGAUGAUCUUUGAUUUUGUCAUCCAGUAAGCAUAAUCUCUCGUGCAGACCGUGGACAUCCCGCCAGGGUAUCUAUCAUCGAUGGCAUCUUGUGUGUACGGCUCCUAGACAACCGCCUCAGAGUGCAACACGUCGAACUGCUCGUUGAAUGAUGGGUAGCAAUUCCUGACCUGAUCGUGUGCAAAGCGUCUCUGUAAAAAAAAGAAGUUAGCUUCAUUCAUGGUUUAUGUAAACUAAUGUAUGAAUUUCACAUUCGACAUACCUUGCUACGUGUCCAAAUUGUCGCGAAAGUAGGCAGGUCGAUGUGUUCUAAGUCAAACAACUCCUGCUCAGGGUUAGGGUGAUCACCCGUAACGUCUGGUCGGCCGAUAGAAAACCUCUCCCACGACCAGAGCUGCAACAAUAAAGGACAUCCAAGCAGGGCUGACUUGGGCGACGCAAGCUGGCAAGCGUUGCACAUACCUCGGUACGUAGCCGCUAAGACGGCCGAACCCCAACUCCUCUGUGUGAUGUCGUCACCACAAGUUGCAUUCGCGAUCUCCACUGCAAUAGGGAUGUAGCGUGCGCUAAUGGUGGUGACGUGGUUCUCGGUGAACAUCACCUCCCGAGAAGCCACAUUAUAUAUGCCUCAAGGCUCCGAGUGAUCUGAGGCUCAGUCAUUUGGGUCUCUGUAUACCCAAACUUCUGAAUCUGCAUGCAACAAAAACCAAGUGUUAGUAAACCCAUGCAAGUAUAUGAGGUAUGCUCUUAGAUAUAUUAACUUAAAACACAUCGAUCUAACCUGGUAAUUAGGCAACCAAUCUAGCUUAGGUCCGUGAGCCUCCGAGGUAGGGGCUCAGCUCCGGCAAGAAUACCUUGAAAACGUAGGGAACAAAUUAACCCAUAGUUCCACAUAGCGUACAAAUUAAAACACAGGGCACAAAUUAACACAUACCUUGAAAGCGUAGUGCCAUACCCUCCUGCCAAUCAGCUGGUGCCUGCAACGGUCCUAUGGGAUCACCCACCAAUGGUAGUCCCAGCAGCAUCGAGACAUCCUGGAGAGUAGGAGCUAUCUCUCCCCAGUGAAAAUGAAACGUGUGUGUCUCGGGCCUCCAUCUGUCCACUAAGCAGCUCAGCAGCAAGUGGUCAAUUUGUAGCCGUGUAGAGUUGAAACCUCGUCGCUCACCCUCUACCAUUUCCGCACAAGUUGCCCCAACAAGUCGUGCGAAAGGUAAAAGGCCAGCCCACUUCAAACUGCAUAAAUAAAAUGGACAUGCAAGGGAUGAAUAAAUAAAAUGUAAAUGCAAGGGAUGAUUGAAUAAAAUGUACAUGCAAGGGAUGAAUAAAUAAAAUAGACAUGCAAGGAAUGAAUAAAUAAAAUGUAAAUGCAAGUGAUGAUUGAAUAAAAUGUACAUGCAAGGAAUGAAUAAAUAAAAUGGACAUGCAAGGGAUCAUUGAAUAAAUACCGCUGAAUCCAGGCAGGGUGUAUCAUCCAUUUUCCCUUAGGAGUGCGCGUGACAAGGGGCUCGACACUCUCAGGAUGCGCCACCAAUCGAGCAGCCUGAUGCUUACUCUCAAUCUCCGGAGAAAGCAAUGAUACUCUCUCCAUUUUGUGCCUGCAACAUUUAUAAACAAAGUUAGACAUACAAAUUAAAGUUAAGCAUAGUUAAACCGAGAGUACAUAUUAAAACAUAGUUGAACAAAGCGUACAAAUUAACACACAGUUCCACACAGAGUACAAAUUAAAACAAAGGGCACAAAUUAACACUUAGUUUCAGAUAGUACAAAUUAAAGCUUAGUUCCACAUAGAGUACAAAUUAAAACAUAGAGCACAAAUUAACACAUAGUUUCACAUAUAGUACAAAUUAAAACAUAGAGUACAAAUAAAAACAUAGAACACGAAUUAACACAUAGUUUCACAUAUAGUACAAAUUAACACAUAGUUUCACAUAUACAUGAUAAGCCUAGUUUCUUCCUCUCCCUCGUCGUCCACGUCUCCCUCUUCUACGGGCAGUAGCUCCACCAGUACCGAAAGUUGGACAAUAAGUGUCCCUGUGGCCAAAAUGGUUGCAUAGAAAACAUUGUCGUGACGGUCCUCCGGCUUCAGAUUCAUCCAUAUCAUUUCGGGUGCACCUGAACGGGCGUCUGCCUGUGCCUGUACGCAGUAGCCCGGGGUCAGGAAUGUACCGCCUUUCACCAGGGGUUACCUUGUUGAAAUUGCCCAUUGCACAAAACCCUAGCAUCUCACCCGUCCAUGUGCUAGGCACAGACUCUUUCAGGUAAUAGGGAGACACAAAUGAGAUUGCGUCCAUCCCUAGCUGCCCGCAAGCAACAAGUACAUGUGAGCAACGAAGGUGAAGCAACUUUGGUUUGUUGCAGGUGCACUCACACGUUGGCCACGCUUCAUUUCCAAUCUUCACCUCCUGUGUCCUCAAUUCAUUUCCAACGCCGAACUUGUCAGUUGGCAAGCGCACCUCAAACCUAUGUUCUUGAUUACCGAUGGCGACGACAGUAUGAGACGUAGCUUUUCCAUCUUCUCAUCCAUGUACUUCAUAAUCUUUUCACGGUACGGUGUAUUUGGGUUGUUCAUGAUAUGCAUUUCAGCUCUCUGGCGUCUAUCUCUGAAAUACUUCACCGUGCCAUGGAAAAUACCCUCGACGAUGGCUGUAAGUGGUAAAGCCCUAUUUCCCCUCAGGACAAAGUUGUAUGUUUCUGCCAGGUUAGUAGUCAUGACGCCGUACCUAGCGCCAUGUGUGUCAUGCAGCAAAGACCACCACUCCAGAGGCUUGUGCUCUAUCCACUGCUGAAAGUUUUUAAUCUGCCUCCCAACCCUUCUCCUAGUGCCGGGUGGGUCAAACCCUGGCAAGUCACAAAGCCCAACAAGUUCUUCCUCAGAUGGUCCUGUUCCAACUGCUGUCUGUGCAGCCACUGCUGCUACAUGUGCUGCUACCGCUGCGUUUCGUGCCGCUGUCCUCUCCCUAACAUGUUUCUUCUUGAACUCAUCAAGAUAACCACGUAUCCUAGUGUACUUCCAUUGUUGGUUCUGUUUGCAGAGUUUCUUGAAUAGAUUCAUAAGUGACUUGUUCCUGAACUGCGAGAAGAAGUUGGCCCCCAAAUGCCGCAUGCACCAACGACUCUGCAUGUCCUGCCAUGGAGUCUGUUCAUCAGGCUCAGGGUUUGUCAGUGUCCUUAUCACACUAAGUAUGCCUGCAUGUCUGUCAUGAAGGAUGCACACAUUCGGCUUAAUCAUGCACAAUUGCUCUCUUGAGCUGCCUGAAAAACCAUAACCAACUUUAAGUUUUCUCACCCUCCACGAAAGCAAAUGCGAGCGGAACGAUUUGAUAGUUGCCGUCUUGACCAAUGGCGGUCAAGAUCUGCCCCCUGUAUUUGCCAGUGAGAAAAGUACCAUCUAUGCAUAACACCAGUCGACAAUGAUGGAAAGCUUGAACGCAUACACCGAAAGUGAAGAACAGUCGUUGCAGCACCCUCACAGUUGGAUACUCUGAGUGCAGGAAGUGUUGGAUGUCGACAUAGGUGCCUGGAUUACGGGCUUGCAGUGUAUGGAGGAGGCGGACAACAGAGUCGUACGAGUCGAAAAACGAACCAAAUCUUUCCUCAAGAGCCCUCUGCUUAGCCCUCCAAGCCUUGCCAUACGAAAUGUUGUACUUAAACCUUACCCUGACCUUAUGCAUGAUGGCCUUCACUUCCAUUGCUUUGCUCUCCACUAUCUCCGUGUAAAGCAACCGAGCAAGAAGCGUCGACGAGAGGUUACGAUGGUCUUGAGGGAUACUGGGAAUGACACAUGUGUGCAACAUCAAGUCACUCACAACCCAAUCUGUGUCAUACUUAGGAACAUAGCCAUGCACCCUCCCGGGACAAUCUACUUGUUCACACUCCAUUGUAAGAUAUUUUUGUGAAGAGACUGUUGUUUUGAAAACCCUUUGCGUGGACAUUGCCCAAGCAAUUAUCGCAUCCUGCAGAUGUUUCUUGUCAGCAAAUCUGGCACCCUUCGCAAUGUUGUUCUGAUGAUAUUGUCAUGCAGAGUCGUGCCCAUCGUUCACGGUCAUAGCUGAAGAGAAGUGUUGAUUCCAUGAUGCAGGAGUCGGCACCUCCUCUUUGUCCGACUCAUGAGACUCAUCGUCAUAAGAACUACGGCCAUAUGUAUCUUCAUCCUCCAUCUCGUUCUGCAAGUGACCAUCUUCUUCGUCCGCAUCUGCCUCGCCAGUGUACUCAUCCUCUCCUACUGCCCCGGAGCUCUGGCCUGAUUCAUAACCACCACCUCCAGUAUUCGACACAGAGUUUGCAUUGGACAAGUCAUAAUUUGAUUCACCCUCGCCUUCAGCUGGAUUGGUCUCAUGAGCGACAACCUGGAUUAAGGCGACAGGUGUAGUUCCCCUUUUCUCGCAACUUUUUAACCAGCGCACCCACUUUGAUGUCCAGUCUAUCGGCCUCAAAACCAAAAAAAUAUUUGAACUUGACUUGGUCCACAAUGCUUGCACACGGGCGGUGUAUGUUUCAGGAUUGACCGCUAAACAUCCUACCAACCAUUCCUGCAACUGACUAAACGUCCAUGUUUGAGGGGCCGUUAGAUCCAACUCCACAUACUUAAACUGACUCAGGUCAGCUCCGUGCUCGGUUGUUAAGACAGUACCGGAACCGUAGUAAAAAACAAACUUCACUACACCGGACAUCUCUGAUGCCUAAAAAAAUGUUUAGACGCAUCAAAUACUAAGCAAUACGGCAUAUAAAAAAUAUUAUGACACGUCAAAUACUAAGCAGUACGGCAUAUUAAAAAUAUUAUGACGCGUCAAAUACUAAGCAGUACGGCAUAUUAAAAAUAUUAUGACGCGUCAAAUACUAAACAGUACGGCAUAAAUAAAAUCUAGCCUAAUCAAAACAUAUUACUACCGGCCAUACUAUUUGGACGCGUCAAAUACUAAGCAGUACGACAGAUUUAAAAUAUUAAUAGGUGUCAAAUACUAAACAAUACGGCAUAAAAAAAAUCUCGUCUAUCAAAACAUAUUACUACCGGCCAUAAUAUUUAGACGCAUCAAAUACUAAGCAGUACGACAUUACCCGUUGUCCAAAAUAAUGAGCACUACCAAACGCUAAAACAUACUUCUGGCAUCAUCACCAUUGCUCCAAUCAAAACAUAUACAUUGAAGCAGUGCACACGAAUCCUCAUAAACAUCAUGUGUCUAAGCAGUACACACGUAUCCUCAUAAACAUAUACAUUAUAAGAUAAAUACGUGAGAGAUUAGGAUUUACCCUUGAAGCGUGUGAACCCAACCUCGAGCAACCUCACAGUCACCCGAUGAGCACCACCACCUCCAAACUCCUCCAAACCACCACCAUUGCUCCAACUUUGCACCACAAAAUUAGCUCUACAUGGCCAAUGAAAACAGUAGAUCGAGGUGUCUUUGGGUGCCAACUAGGUAGGGGAUGCGAUUUUGUGGUUUAAAUGGGAUCAAAGUGCACUAAUUUGGGCUAGAAAAUGGGGCCAUUUGAGGAGAAAAUGAAGAACACAGAAGAGAAGAAGCUGGCUGGGAGAACGAGCAGAGGAGGAAGAAGCUGGCUGGGCUCACUCGGGCACGCACGGGAGGGAUGGGAAGGCAAAGUGAAAAAGGAAAAGGAAAAAGAUUCCGGCCCCGAACCCACCAUGCCGCUUUCGGCCACGACGAGGCCGACUGGCCAGUCGGCCUGGGCCAGGAUAACUGCCUCGUGGGGGGCCCACAGGCUGAGCAGGCGGCCUGCAGUCGGCCUGGCCAAGGCCGACUGGGCCUAAUCGGCUUGGGCCAGGCCGACUAGGCCCAUUCGGCCUUGCCCAGGCCAAGGCCGUAUUAUUUUUGAUAUUUUUGAAAAACACGUAUUAUUUUUGAAAAUGAUUAAAAAAAUCGUAUUAUUUAAAAAAAAUUAGCAUGAUCUUGCCGGUAGUUUGGUUUAAUGGAAUAGAAGGUAUUUCGUCUCAAAAAAGCAUUUAAAACAAACAUAAAAAUAAUAUAUCAAUGCCAAAUUUCUCAAGAUGGGUGACGUAGAGGGGAUGAGGAAUGUUCCCAAUCCUAAGCAUCCCGGCUAUCCCAGCCGAAAUACAAGCCUGUCCGGAGAGUACUCAUGAGUUCCCCGUUCGGUUGCAACAACCCCUGCAGGGAUUGAGUGGCGUUUAGAGAAAAUUGAACUAAACUGUCAUCGUUACUUCUCAAUCCCCAACGAGAAAGCCGUGCGAAAAACCCUGACAAUGAGGAUACACAGGGCAAAACCGAAGAAACAAGCCGCUACCGCGAAAACGAAACCCCUCCCGCUCCAACGACGCCGAACAGGGAACAUCACCUUGCGCCAGAGCGGGUAGGCAGAACUGGACUUCUUCGACGACCGGAGACAGGAAGAGGUUGCCCUGACAGGAACGGCUCGCGCAACGGCAAGCCUGCGUAGCACGAAGUCGCCCUCCCUGGCCAGCCCCACCGCGGCAAGCAAACUCUGCCGCCAGACGAGGGCUCCAAAGGUAACGCCUCCAAGGAGGACACGGCGUCCGAAGACGCCACCAUUGCCCGAUCCGAAAAACGCAUCUGAGCUUUCGCUCGGAGGCACCUCGCCUGCAAAAGGUGGGAUGUAGUAGGGCUGCACGAUGACGCCUUCAAGAAGGGAGCGGCGUCCAAGGACGCUGUCAUCGCUGGCACCAAAGGCGGUGCAGGGUUUUCACCCGCAGCCCACGCACCCAGCGUGAAUAGGGGCAAAAAACCUUCGCAAUGAAGAACUGACCAGAGGCCAGAGGCCACCAAAGCUCCGUGCGCACCGACGUAGGUCCGUCGACGCCAAUGGCCCAAACUAUCAGCCGCCAGGGCAUCACAACCGCCCCACGCACCGGCUUUGACGCACACUCGGCCCGCAGGCCCAAGCCGGACCCAAAACGGGCCCGCCCGCCACGGGCCAUCGAGCCGGUCGGGAACCUCCACGCACCGGCAAGUGCACGGCAAUGCUGCAACCACAUGCCGCCUAGCAGAACUGGCCGGCUGCCUGGGCCGGGCUCAUAUGUGAGCCCACGCCACCCAUCUGCACCCAGCAGACCAGUGCCGCCAUGCUGCCCAGCACCGCUCUGCGCCGACGGCCCCACGCGCCACCCCACGCCUCCACGCGUUCCCCGCCGUCAUCUCGCGCCACCAGGCGCCGCCUCGUCGUGGGAGAAGAGGAAAACGCUCCGCCGCCACCUUCCUUUGGCGUGCGCAGGCUUCGCCGGCACCCCCUUCGGCGGCAGCAAAGCAGGGGAAAGGGAGGAGGAGGAGGAAGACCGGUGGCGGCUAGGGUUUCAGGCAACACGGGGUAGGAGGAUGAUCCUUUGAUUUUAGUAUUUGCAUCUAGAUGUGGCCAAUGACUACAGAACGUACCCCAAUGCAGCAACUCAAUCCAUCAAAAAUAAAAAUAAAUCAAAGAGGCCGAAUAGAACAUGAAAUCCGAUAGAUCGAAUACGUUCAUAGGAUCGACACUUUGUGUUCUUUGAGAUAAAGAAUCGGAUUCCUAACAAUAUAUAGAAAGGGAUUUUGUUUUGUUUGUAGCCUUGUAUUAGGCAACUAGCCGCUGCUACUCGUAAUCGAUGGAAACAGAAAUGGGGAUGUCGACGGCGCCGUGGUCCUCCCUCCCCGACGACCUCCUCGGCCUGAUCCGCCACAGGAUCGCCUCCCCGCGUGACCGCGCGCGCCUCGCCGCCGUCUGCUGCUCUCGGCCACAGACCGGUGCCCGCAACGCACAAUCCGGCAGCGACGGCGCGACCUCUCCCGACUCCCACUCCCAGCUCGUCGCCUCUUCAAUCUUCUCGCGCUUGGCGCCUGCAACUCCGGCCAGCUCGACGGUGGAGAGGCCAAUCUGCACGGCAGCCGCAACUAAAGGACGGCACCAACUACCGAAUCAGGGGUAGGCGCAAGUUAGUUUCAGGUUGAGUUGUUGUUCAGAUCCGAGUUGUUGUCACGCUGUUCAGAUUUUGUUGUCGAGUUAGUGUUGCUGCUACUUCGAUUCAUGUUCGUGUGUAGCUUCUACUUGAAGUUUCUGUGUGACCGUGUGUACAGCGACAGCGUGUGUGAUUAUGUAUGUGAGGCUCAAUUGUACGUCAGAUUGCAGGUACGUGUGAUGCUAGUCUGUAUGAUUUGUCGAAUUCUGAAAUGAGAUGGUGCCGAAAUUUCGGAAAUUCCGGGUUACCCGAUACCCGAACCCGAAUUCCGGGUUAUUAAUUUUUUGCUCUAAUUUGGAGUGUUAAAUUUGGAAAUCCGAUUUUUUACUUACCCAAAUUACCCGACCCGAAUUUUCGGGUAAACCCGAACGCCCAGUCUGAUCCUAGUCCUUGUUAUUUGAAACAAAUAAAAAUAAUCAUAGCAGGGGUGUGGCCGGCCGGUACGUGGAUAUAUUUUGUAUCGUGUUUAAAGUUCCAACCGCACAUGUAUGCAUGUUACAUAUCGGAUUCCUUCUUUACUCCAAAAGGGAGAACAUAUCGGAUUCCUAGCUACUUAGUACUGCAGUAUAUAAGAUAAGGGAUUUGUUUGUACGGCGAUUAGCCAGUACUCGCAAUCGAUCGAAAGUUCGAAACACGUAGAGAGAUGUCAACGGCGCCGUGGUCAGAGCUCCCCUACGACCUCCUCGGCAUGCUCCGCCUCAGGAUCGCCUCCCCUCGUGACCGUGUGCGCUUCGCAGCCGUCUGCAAGCCGUGGCGUGCCGCCGCGCUGCUGCUCCCGGCGCCGCCUGCCGCCCCACUGCUGCUCCUCUCGCCGCGCGGCCGCAGCGGGAUGAAGCACUUGUGCGGCCCCAACGACAGCUGGGUCUUGCGCGUCCCGAAGAAGGCUCUCUACAAGCAGUUCCUCGGCUCCCACGACGGCGGAUGGGUAGCUGCGGUGAAUUACGACGGGCUAAUGAUCGUCAACCUCUUCUCCGGCGCCGAGGUUGUGCUCUCCGCAGACCAAACCACCAAGCUCGCCUCGAUCUGCUCUCCCAAGCCGUUGCCGUUCCACUGCGUGGGACACAGCAUCUGGAAGAUUGUCUUCUCCGGAGACCCCGCCUCCUCGGACGGCUGCACCCUCGCCGUCCUCAUGGGCGACCAGGCCCACGUCGCGGUGUGCAGAGUCGGCUGCCCGAACGGCGAAUGGGCCGUGCAGGCUUGGCACGGGGAGUCUAUCCAGGACAUCGCCUUCUGCAACGGCGAUCUCUACGGCCUCACGCUUGGCAGCGAGUCACUGAUCAAGUUUGAGAUCAGCAUGAAGCUGCAGGAACAAGAAGACGGCGGCAUGGCGCCGGUGCUCACGACCAUGGCUCACAAGCUGGCCAUCCAAAGGCGUGACGUUCCCACCUGGGAGCACGAUUUCAGGGCCUACUUCGCCUACAUUUUCGAGCUGCACGGCGAGCCGGCGAUGGCGGUGCGGACCCGGUGGCCGGCCAACCGUGAGCCUAUCUUCAGGGUGUUUAAGCUCUCCGCUGCUGCCGACGGCGUGUCUGAGCACAGGUGGGCAGAGGUGACGAGCUUGGGCGACUAUGCCUUGUUCUUGGGGGUGGCAUGGUCCAAGGCAGUGCAUCUGCCGAUGGAUGCCGGCCGGUGCGUUGCUCGUGAAGGCCUGGAGAGAAACCACAUCUACUACUCCACGCCUACCCGCUCCGAGGAAGACAAGUUGCCCGGCGACCAAGUGUACUCUGUGACAUCAGAAGACGGGCACCGUAUGUAUUGCAGGAAAGACCAGAGCGUGGGCGAUAGCGUUGGGAGAACAGGAUACCACAUGAUGGGUUGGCAUUAUUCUGCCAUGUGGCUACUCCCUCCAGACUUCUAGGUCAUAUAGUACUUCUUUUAGCUGAUAGGAGUCUUCUUUUAGCUGAUAGGGAGAUGACUCCGUCGAUCUUCGUACCAUAUUAUCAGCAUGAAUCUACGUGUGACUGAUUUCGGCCUGAAAGAGUAUCAUCAACCGUCCAGUGCAGUGAGCCGGCUUUCUUCUUGCAGAACACGUCGGAGCGAGAGAGAAAAAACUGUUUACCAGAUGACGAACAAACUGUGACAACCAUAUCAUAACACUGAAUAUAAUCUAUACAGAUGGUCCCCCCCUGAGGUUUGUACACACCGGAGUUUGUCGAAUUUCUGAUGACUGCGACUUAAUUACCGCUGUUGAUAAUACCCUCUACACACUUCUGCAAUCUGCAUGCUAUCCUAACUCCUAAGUAACUAAGCAAUUACACGACAGACUUGAAUCACAACGAUGACACCAGAUCACGGCACGGCAGAGCACCAGCAACUCGAAAAAGACCGACAAGAAAGCAGAAAGAUUCAGCUAAGUCCUUGCUCGGCGCCUACGAUACCCGUCACUGGAAUCAUGCGUCCAAAUGUUGAAUUACUCAUGAUGACAUUGGGCAUCUGCCCAAUCUGGUCAAUCAGCCGUAUGUGUUUGCAUGUGGCUCGUAACCAGCUGUGCUGUAGGUGCAAACAUGUUUGAUCCUGAAAAGGAAAUUUGGUAUUGGUUAGCAAUAGCCAACUUUAACUGGAAGAUACAAGAUGAGACGAACUCCUGUGAUUAUCAGUGUAGGUUAGCACCUGGAACAGCAUUAAAACCAUUCACAGUUUGGUGCAUGGCGGCCCGUGCAUGAACAUUAUGGCUGCUCUUCGUCUCAACAGCAUGUUCACCUCGGUCUAUUGAAACCUGUGGUAAUGAUCCACAUUGCUGGCUUGGUAAUGCUUGAGAAUCAAUCCUCUGAGCGGUGUCGGUAGAAGCACAUGACGCAGUGUGUGGAGGCCCUGCUGAAUGGCUUCUGCUGGCAGGAUCAUCAACAGUUUGCUGUUCACUCGACGCUGCUGUGCUGCUUGGUGGCAUCAUUGCUGUCGAAGAUGAAGUUGGUACAGGUGGCCGAAAUGUGUUUGAUGUUUCAAAAUCUCCUACCCACCCGCGACCAAACGUUAUUCCAGGAGGAAUGACCUGUUCAAUUCGCUUCGAUGCAACUUCCCAAGCGGCAGAACCAAGCUGUGCAGCAAAACGUGCCAGACUGCGGGAAUAGGACUGCUGCCACUGAACCCCAACCUGAAACAAGAAAAUACUGUGUUUAAGUGAGAAUGAUACUAUUUACCAUUCCCCAAAGUUACUGGGAAUCUGAAAGACUGAAACUAUAUUGAUAUAUCAUCGAUCUCUUAGGGAACAUGGCUUGUAUUGGACACUCAACUGGUACAAGAAUCUUCCUUGUUCCGUUGUAUGAUGUUGCCACUGGCAGCUCAUAUAUUGAACUGGAUGGUUGAUGAUGAUAAUAUGUGCUCCGGCGACUUUCUUCUACUAAAAGCGGCUUCUUCGCCAUUUUUCCUGACCAUUUACUCCCGGACCCUGGGACAUACGGAACAUUAAAUGAUGUCAGGGGGAAAUGGGUUGGUUGAAUCGGAAAGAUGUCCUUUAUUCAUCAGCAUCCCAUUGAAUACCCACUCAUUCAAAAUACAGAACUUUGGGGUGAUUUAAAAUAAUCAAAACCUGAGUAAUCUUCAAUGCUUUCCAUUUUGCGCUCGCUAGACCAAUUGUGCUCAUUGUUUCUAUUGGCAAAAGAAGCUUUCAGUACAUCUGCAAUUCUUCUUUGUAGAUCGAAUCCUGAGUGUGCAUGAUGUCCACUAUUUCCACCAGUAGCGAGUGCCGCACCAGGAAAUUCAGGAGGAGCACGUUCUGCUGGUGGUCUCCCAAUGUUUGGUUUGGCGGAGUUCUUUGGAGGCCUGCCUCUGCGACGUUGUGGCUUUGGUUCUUGCUCUGGUAGUGGUUCUGGCUCCGGCUUUGCUUUUGGUUUUGGUUUUGGUUCUGGCUCUGGUUCACUGGCAUCGCUAUCUUGCCUAAGAUUCUCAAAGUCCUUCUUAGCAACCUCUUGAAUUGCUCGUGCCUAUAAUACAUGAUACAUGAAUAUUACAUUUGCGCCAUAGCUUCCACAGAAACAUUGUAAUUCAUGAAAACAAGAAGACACAAUGCUUGACCUGUCGAUAGUAUAUUGUGUCUGGUGAGUUGUAGCACAUCGCAUUUGAGGUUAUCAAAAACACAUCAUCCUGUAAAUAGAAAGUUUGGGUUAGAGGUUACAAAAUGAAUGAGCAUAUAAAUAGCAUGCUGAAUAUGUGAAUCAUUAUGAGGAAUAACUUUGUACUAGCAUAAUAGUAAGAGUAUCACAACACAUUAACAUUACAAUAAGCUUUACGAACAAAAAGAUUGUGACAUCCUCCUAGCACGAGUAAGAAUAAUUCAUUCGAUAGAUAAUAAAAGUACACACCCAGCACGGCCUGUAAUGUUGAUUGUAGUUUAGAUACUAACAUACCGACUAUUUAACAGUGAGUCAAACUGCCAUUUCUUCUCGAGGUGUGGGUUGCAUCCCAGACCAUGGUUUAGCAUGAAGCAUGGAAUAAAACUUGAUGAACACAACAAUGUUAUUGAUAUAGAGGUAAGACUAAAUUGAAUGCGCACUGAAGAUGUAAGUAUACGAUGCCGGUUACAGCAUAUUUAGAUAUAGGUCCAACAGUUUCAAGUGGUACCAGAGAGGGUAGGAGAUAAGUAGCUACAGCAAGUAAAUUGGUAACAGUAAGCAUGCAUACCAAUCCCAAAAGUAAAAGUUCAGAUCUUCCCAUCUCAGUAAAUGCAUAUCUCAUAUUUCAAACUGACAACUUCGACCUCAGGUCCAACAAUACUUCGUUCGUGAGUACCACCACUACAUGAUUCAUUCGUGAGUACUACUACAAAAAGUGUUUAUAUAUUGGAAGUUGAACGUUCUGUUUACCCCAAAAGUAAGCUGCCUUAUUAUAUUCCUUUGGCCACAGGUAACAUGCAGUUUGCAGAGCAUGUAUAUCGCUUUUACAAAUGUAAUAGAACUAGGAAAUCCUGGAAAUGAGUAAUAAAUAUUGUCCAAGCGUUCACACAGCUGGUUUGUGUCUCUUCCUUCUUUUUUAUAAAGAAAGCAUCAUUUCGUAUUUCCUUAAAUAAUAGUUGAAGACAUUUUUACUUCACAGCAGGUGCUUUCAUUAGAUCAUAUUUUCCAUUAGAAAAAAAAUGGUCCAUUUACAGCUUUUCUUUUCUAAAACACACUUCUUCAGAAGAGUUAAUCAUUUAUUUACAUACAAACACUAUUUGUUAUGGAACUGUUUAUAGUAUCAGAUACUAUAGCCAAAUGACUUAAACAUCCUAGUAAUAAUUGGAUAUACAGAACAUAUGAAGACAGCAGCACCUGAUAUGUAACUAAAUAUAAACACAGCCCUGCUCAUAAUUUUAUACAAUUAAAUUUCUGCAAAUGGAAUCAAUAGCAGUAACUCCUGGUGGUGCAAGUGUUUCUCUUCACUUAUUACUAUAACAGAUACCUUGAUUCAGAUUUCAUUUUGCCUUUAAAGAAACUUGUUAAAUGAAAAUGUUGUGCUCCUGUCUUUCAUUAAGAAAAAAAAUCAGGUGUUCGGUACUUCAGUUUACAAGAUAUUUAUCAAAUGAAACAUUGACAGAAAAAACACCUAGCAGCAAAACUCACAGGUUUGUAUUAAAAUAUUUGCACCGCAUGUUUCGACUCUAAGAGAGUGAAUAUAUGUUCCUAAAAGGCAUGGUGCAAUGCUGCAGCAGUACAGAAUAUUUGCCCCGCAUGUUUCGACUCCAAAGACAGCAGUGGACAAGGUAUUUUUUACCAAGCCAGAAAAUGCCAUGGUUUUACUAUUUCUACUGGACUAUAAGAAUAAAGAACAUGUCUGUAAGGUACAAAAGGAGAAGAAACGUCAGCAGGGAAAAACACACGAGUGUGACAGAGAUGACGACUAAUCUAGCUGAUCAAGCAAACCGACAUAACCAAAUUACUGUAACAGCUGAUUUCCUACGAAACACUCUCAAUCUUCUGCCUGUUAAAGGAAAAUCCAAAUAAAAUAGAAAAAGGUGAAACAACAAAAAAACCAAAAGAUUCUACACUGACCUCAAAUUGCUCCAAGAUGGUAUAAGCCCCCUUAUCAAGCUUCUUGCGAACCGUCUGAAAAUCCAUUGGGUCCUUGACAAUAUCAUGGUAAUCGGGCAGCUGACAAUAAAUGCACAAUUAAAGGCAAAUCAGUCAGCUUCUGAAAAACGAACCAAGAAAAACAAGCUUUCAUCUUCAGACACAAACCUCUUCUGGAUCAACUGGCUCUGAGAAUACACCAUAUGUGUCUUUCCUGCAAGAAAGCAAGAAACAGACCUCAGAUAAGAUGUCCCGGAACUGUGAAUGAACUGGAAGGAAGAACAAGCAGAGAGCAUAGCAACUCACUUCUGUAGCCUAUCAAGGAUGAAGACCAAUAACUUUUUGUCCGGCAGAGGUGUCGUGGGACCGGAAUCUGACGGCUCUGUCGAAUGAACAAAUCCAUCCACCCACGAGCACAGAAACAAUCAGAGGCACGGGCAUUAAUUAAACAAGAACAAACUGGAAUGUAUCCACCACUACAAGAAUAAUUAAAAAUGACAUCCUUGUGCACAUUCGUCCAGGUAUUUUUUGCUUCUGAAAUCUGAAGAAUAAAUGCAUCAGAGAGCUAGGGAAAACCAACCUUCACGCCCAUCCGUCGCUAUCCUCGUCUUUUCUCCCUGCGGCAACAGCAGCAACAGAGGAUAAAGAGAAAUUUAAAAACAACAGGACAAAAAUAUCUUCACAGAAAAUCGAGAUGAGCGGAGAAAAGGCGCCAGAAAAAGUGGGGGCUUUCGUUUACCAGCACCAGUUACCAAGUACAGAUCCUAACGACGCCGGCGUCGCGAGAUGUAUAGCAAAAUUUGGCGCGAAAGGCAGAGGAAACCAGCCCAAAAAAAGGUACGCCUUUAAAAGCUUGGAAGCGAUCCACUUACAAAAAAAAUGCGCCAAUUAUUGCGACGCGAGAGAUGCGAUGGGUUUUUGGUUUAUCCGCCAAAUGAUUGGGAGAGGGCUCUCAGGUUGAACUGCGCAGCGUUGACUGCUGCACGACGGCAGAGAGAGAGGGAGAGGGGGGAUAAAUAAAUAGAGGCGCGCGGGCGGGCUUUUCAUGCCUAAAAUAGCAAAGAGAAUUCCUCGGGCGGCGCGCGGCGGCGCAGAUCCGUACGUUCCCGGGGGCAGAGCACUCCGAAUUUGGCGAAUUCCGCGCGAAACCGGCCGGAUUCGAGCGGGGAGUGCGCAGAUCGGGAUUGGGGAUGCGAGGGAAGCCCACCUUGGCUGAUCCGCCGUGGAGGCCGACGACGAGGCGGACCUUCUUCUCGCGGCGGUCGUCGUCGCCGGAGUCUUCGUCGGCGGCGGGGUUCCGGCGCGUGGAGGGGCGGCGCUGCUGGGGCGGGGGCGGGGCCGGUGGCUCCUCCUGCAGCUUCUGGAGGCGGAGGCUGCGCUUCUGGAGGUCGAGGAGCGAGGGGCGGCCCUUCUUCUUCCGCUUCCGGCGGCCCGGGGGAGGCGCCGACAUCACCGCGGCCGGCGGCGGCUGCUGCUGCUUGCCCAUUGCCCGCCCGGCGAGUACACUGCCCUUUUUUUUAUUUCGACGGGGCUUUACUUUUUUUUCUCCCUCCGUUGUGUCGCAGGGGGGUAUCGCGUGUGUUGGGGUGCGGGACGGGGCGGGGGUGGGUAGACUUUUUGGUGCGGCGGGGGCCGCUUCUGUGUUGGCUUUUCUUUUUUCUCGCUUUGCAGAGCACGUGAGCUGCGUGUGUUUCUGGGCCUUCUGAGUUCUGGCAGGGCGGAGCUGGGAGUCGUAUACUCGUAUACCGUCUACUCGCUGCUGUCAACUGUAUACUGAUGCAUGUAUGACGUACCCGGGCUGCCAGUCGGUGGCACCGUGGCACUCACCAGGAACGCGACGAUAUGGCACGUCCGUAUGGUUCCACACGGGACAAAUAUUCACUGCCCUGUAAAUUCACUUUCAAUUGUUGUGAAUAUUUUUGAAAAAUAGUUCCAAGGAUGUUCAUAUUGAUGUAAUAUUCAAGUUGCAAAUUUUGGCGAAUCAACAAGAUUCCAUCAACUGAUGGUUCAUGACGACAUUUGUGUAACUACUUGACAUCAUUAUCGCAAACUCAACAAGAGACCAAAUGUGAUGUAUUGAAAGGCAAACAACCAUUGCACCUCGUCUUCCAACAAAAUCGAUAGGUCCCAAUUAACAAGGAGUAACAAAUCCUUGGGCGGAGCGUGAGUCUGGUUGGGCGGCUCUUUUUUUCGGGGAAGUUGAGUUUUAUUGCUCAUGACCAAGAUUACACAACCAGUAGCCACGCAUAUUAGAUGGUAUAGUGGAUUGUUCCUUUCUAACGGAAUAUGGUUUUGCAGGUACCGACAUGAUCCUUAGGGAUGAGUUAGCUAGGAGCAGGAGCUGCCAUGUUACAACAUCGAGGAGUUUAUCUCAAUGUUUCGGAGACAAAUGUGUUUACAAACUAAAAAUGUGAGAUCUCUUAAAUAAGUCGUAUAUCUGAAAAAAGAGGAGUAUCAUUAUGCAAACAGAUUGUUGGAACGUUGCUAAAUGUAGUGGCAUGCAUGUAAUACAAAGUCCAUCGAGACAAGGCCACUUCAAAGAAAUCCACAGGCUGACGGGACUUGACGAAGAUUGGUCAAGGACAAAACAGAGUCGCAUUGCAUAUUAACAGAGUCGAUUUCAGGUAGAUCUGUUCGCCGCAGAUUGGUUGAACCACGUCCUGGUUACCAGAGUCACAAGGAUCCCGCUUUUCCUCGAAAGAAAAAAAAAUCACUGACUGCAAUACUUUUUUCUAAGCUUGCUUGACCCCUAAUCUACUGCUCUUUGUCUGCUUUUCCACCUGGGAUUAGCGCUGAUGUUGCUGGGAUAGUAGUAUUGAUGUGGAGGAAGUCCUUUCAGUUUCUGUUUCGGACAUUCAGUAAUCAAUUUCAGCAAAGUUCUCAACUUGCCGGUGUUUGGUUUCAGUAGUUCUCUGAUGCAGAGCAGUGAAGUUUCAGCAAAGUUUAGUACCCCCAGGUGUUUGAUUAUUAUUUUUUUAUAAGAAAGGUGUUUGAUUUGAUCGUACUAUUUGUAAUUGGUAGUUAAAGAUUUCAGGUGUUUAGAUUUACAUGCAUUAAAGAUUUAGCAAAGUGGAGUUCGAUUUCCUUCCACGGUUGUCUGUACUCUGUACACGACCUAAUUCUUAUGAUUAUUGUUUGCAUAUAUAUCCCUUCAAUUCACUCUACGAGAUACACUAGCCAGCAAUCGCACAUCCCAUCACACGGUGAUUCAAAGAAGAAUGACCUCUGGGAUGAUUCGCUACUCAUCGAGUUCAUAUCUCCUCGCUUUGCUUAUGUUCUUUUCUUCAAAAAAAAGAAGAUUUUAUCGACUUAUCGUAGUACUAACCCUACAACGUAACUUUCGCCCUCUGCAUCCAAAACGGCACAGCCACACUUACUGUUCUGAAGAUUGGCAUGAUACAAAGAGAAAUCCUAACACCAAUUUGGGAAUCUGUAGUUCCAAGUGGACAAUUAGUAUACUAAUAGAGGAAAGGUGCCAAACACACAAUUGGCGGAUAGAAGUUGAAACUACCGAUGGCCGUGCACUAAUAUAUCCCAAUAUACAAGUACAUCAGAUCAUCGGGGCGAGUAAAUUUCACAAAACCACACUUCGAGAAUAGGGUUUCAAUGAGCCACAAUUAUGACUAAUAGUCUCACAAAACCACACUUUUUCGGACAGAUCUUCACACAGAACCCAAAUCAGGUAAUUAAGAGCGUUUGAUGGUGUUUCUGACAAGUAGGACCCACAUGUCGGAUGCCAGGAUCGAAUCGGGAUUGUCCGGGUAGAUAGAGGAGCUUAACGGGUGUCGGGCAAAUGCUGACGUGGAUAAAAAAAGGGUUUGACCCGUCCGACCUGGCAUCCGACAUGUGGGUCCCACUUGUCAGAAACACCAUCAAACGCUCUUAAUUACAUGAUUUGGGUUCUGUGAGAAGAUCUGUCCGAAAAAGUGUGGUUUUGUGAGACUAUUAGUCAUAACUGUGGUCCGUUGAAAACCUAGUCUCAAGAAGUGUGGUUUUGUGAAAUUUACUCUAAGGGAGCUAUAAGACUUCUUCAUCAUGUAUUCGGCAAGGCUUAAGGGGCCGAGACGUCGUUUCUCAACAUUGUCGGAGAAGUCUGUGGUGGCAAUCUCCACUCUGCCGUCCUCAAGGUGAUGUAUGCGAAUCCCGCGCUUCUUCGACCCGCCGCCAACGUAGUAGAGGCAGUUGCCUUCAAUGGCGGGGAGAUUGUCGGCGUCGACAGACAGAGAGCGAUGCUUGCCAAGGAAGAUCGCACGGUUUCCGAUGCGCUUGACCGGCUGAUCCAGAUAAGUUUUACGGUCAGGACCAACCCUGAAGACCUGCACGGCGCCCAGCUGGUGAUCGGACAAAGACGGAGCGUUGUCGACGAGGAACGUGGGCAGCUGGUCCUUCUGAUCCGAGGUUCCGGCGACGACGACGGUGGUAAGCUUGGUCUGCAGCAUGUUACCGGAUGAGCACACGUCCACGGCCGCUACAGUUCCCUUCAUGUCGGCGGCGUAUGCCCGGCCUUGGAAGGCCACCGGGAAGGCCACCGUGCCCGCGAGCGAGAGUGACUCGAGGGUCGGCUUGGCGCGGCGGCCGGUGAAGGGGUUGAGGAGGAAUAUACGGAGGCGGCCCUUCGCCUCCAGGAGUAGGAGGCCGUCUGCUGUGGAGCAUGGGCAGGUGCAUCCAGAGGAACCGGCCCGUGUCGACGUGCAAGAAGAGGAGCCGGCCGUAGCGUUCCCGGCCAGCGGAUGAUCGGGCGUGAGUCGUCGGCUGUAGUUUGUGUCAUUGACGAUGCACGGGUCGUCGCCCGCGAGCUUGUCGAGCAUGACCCAUCGGUGCGGGCGGAACCGCGGGUCGUCGUCCUCGUCCGGGCCGCGCGGGUCGGCGGUGGCGGCGCGCCAGCCGCGGCACACGGCGCGGAGGCCGAUGUAGUAGUCGAUGUCGCUGGUGGCGAGGAAGACGUCCGCGACGCGGCUGACGAGGUCGGGCAACAGCUACGACCAGUCCGCCGCGGGCUCCAUUGUCGCCGUGUGCGUGCGCCUGUGGCUGCAAGAGUUUAUGGAUGGGCCUUGGCACUCGGACGGAGGAAGAAGCCAGAGCCGCCGUCACCUUCCGAGCGAUGGCAAACCCUGAAAACGGCCCCGCUGGCGUGGAGAUGAAGUAUGAAGGGGAGAACCGUCUUAUCCAGCUGAUUCCCCGCCGCGUGCGCCGUGGAAUCCGCCUGGAUCGCUGGGGGCGUUUCCAACUGAUCCCCCGCGGCCUUCCGUCGAAUCCGCCUGGAUCGGCCGCCACUUGGCAGGCCGCGAAGGAUCUCAGCCCAGGAAAAGCCCACGGCUCCAAGGCGCAAAUGAAAGAGGAGAAGAGAAAAUCGUGAGAAAACUCACUGGAGGAGAAAAAUGGCUAUAGUAAAAUUAGUGAAAUACCCAAUCCGGAAAAAACGUCUAGUGCUUCGCCUACUUCCUCAAACAAAAGAGACGCGCGAAGGGCAGAGCCUCAGCCACCCAGCAGUAAUAGCAGCCGUGGUGCCCGUUGAGAUUCCCCGCGCCGUUCCGUCGAAUCGAUCAGCCGCGCGCCCGGCGCCCCUGCACAUAUAUUAUACCCAAUGCCCACACCUCACAACCACUUGCUAACGCGCGCGGCGGUGACCAUGGCUGCGGUGGACUGGUCAUCGCUCCCCGCCGACGUGUUCCUAGCCACCACCGGUCUCGACUACUACAUGAGCCUCCGCGCCGCGUGCCGCCCCUGGCGCGCCGCCACCGCGGACCCGCGCGGUCCGGACCGGCGCUUCCAUCCCCGCCGGUGGAUCAUGCUCGAACUGAAUAUCCAUGUUUCAAGAGAUAUUGUUAACUCCAAAGCUUUCAAACUGAAUAUCCAUGUUUCAUCGAAAUAGGGUACAAAACUUUCGAGUUUGUGGAUGUUCAACCCAAAAUCCAUAACAUACAACGGUUCAGCCUAUUUCUUGAGUUGACAGUUCGCAAUUCCUAGUGGCAAUGAAUACAUGCUAGCUACUCCCCUUUAACUAAUGAAUACUUGGCUCGAAACCUCUCGACCAUUGAGCUUAAUGAGUCCAGCCGAGUUUGAUUUUGAACUGGUCAACGAAACAUUUGAGUCAAGCCGAGCAUAAUUCUGAGUUCGUUAAUAAAACAACUUUAACCACUCAAGCAACGAGCUACUCGUUUAACACCAUCCCCUCUUCUCCCCUUGGUCCAUGGUCCAUCCCUCUUUUUGACCUAACUCAAUAUCCACCCACAUUCCUUGACACACAAGCAAAACCACUCUUGACUCGCGUCCUCCUCUCAUAUGGCAUAUAUGUUAAUUUAUUAACGAUCGAGUUAAACAAACCAAUUUUGUAGUUAAAUUGAGUCGAGCCCAUGUCGCUUUUGAACAUGAUAUACUAUUAACGAGUCGAGCUAACUGUUGUAACUAGUGUGUUAUCUUAAUUGGUUCUACCAAUUCGAGCCAAGCUAACUACUCCCUCCGUUACAUAAAGAUUGGCACGGAUAUCCGGCUCUACUCACACGGACAUGUGGUCAUAAUGCAAAAGAUGCAAAUGAACAAUUCUGAACAGGAGAUUUGAAUUCAGAACCUUUGGUUAUGUGGCAUGUGCCUUUAACCGUGUGGAGCUAACAAUUUAACUUAAUCCGUAUUAUAAUCUCACGCACACUGUGCUUGAUUCUUCUUGCUUUGCUUCCCUUGGUGCGGGUGCACAUCUCAGAGCAUACGGACGGUAUAGAAAGAAGGUGCAGUGCGUCCCAGACUAACCAAACUUUUUUUUUGGCUAUACAAAAUGCACGGUUGUUUGUUGCACGCAACGACGAUUGUUCCUUUUGCCAAAGUAAAUAAAUAAGCAUCUCUCGUCGAAGAUCAUUAUUUUUCUAAUUCUCUACCUCGUGAAAGCUGGAAGUGGCCACGUCACCGGCAAAACUAACCAACGGUAAUAUCUCCCGGAAAAAUCCACCGAGCCAGCCCUUCGCUAGCGCCAAAGAAGUUCACCGCGCGCACGGCCAAAAUCCACGCAAGACCAGCGAAAUCUCGUGGUCUCCACUCUCUGCUCGCCCGGCGCGGCGAGAAGAUAAUCUCAUGGCCACCGCACGGCCACAUCAGCGAGCCACCGCAGCAUCCCCGUGAGGACAUUGACCCCACCCCAUCGCCCUCGGCUCAGACUCAAACCCAUCAAAAAUCCGGGCGCGCCCACGGUGCCAGCCACUCCGUGGCCAGAGCGCGGCCACCUCGGCAACCCCCAUCCGCCUUCCCGGCACCUCACAGCGCGCGCGCCAAUGGCGACUCGGCUUAAGAUUCCCCGUGGAUAAGGACUCGAUCGCGCGCGUUCGGGCCUCCUAUUUAAACGCCUCUCGCUCCCGCUUUACUCCACAGCAACAACCGCUCCAACACUUCAGUUCUCACUCCACAGCUCAGAGUCAGAGCUACUAGCAAUGGCAGCGGCGACCAUGGCGCUCUCCUCCCCCGCGAUGGCCGGCACCCCGGUGAAGGUCUCCAGGGCCACCCCCUUCGGCGAGGGCCGCAUCACCAUGCGCAAGACGGCCGCCAAGCCCAAGGUGUCCGCGUCCGGCAGCCCGUGGUACGGCUCCGACCGCGUGCUCUACCUCGGCCCACUCUCCGGCGAGCCCCCGAGCUACCUCACCGGCGAGUUCCCGGGCGACUACGGCUGGGACACCGCCGGGCUCUCCGCCGACCCCGAGACCUUCGCCAAGAACCGCGAGCUCGAGGUCAUCCACUGCCGCUGGGCUAUGCUUGGUGCCCUCGGCUGCGUCUUCCCCGAGCUGCUCGCCCGCAACGGCGUCAAGUUCGGCGAGGCCGUCUGGUUCAAGGCCGGCUCCCAGAUCUUCAGCGAGGGAGGCCUUGACUACCUCGGCAACCCCAGCCUUGUCCACGCCCAGAGCAUCCUUGCCAUCUGGGCCUGCCAGGUUGUACUCAUGGGCGCCGUCGAGGGGUACCGUGUUGCCGGUGGC